AUUUUUCAUGGCCUAAUAGCUAGUUUCUUUAGUGCUGAGUAAUAUUCCAUUGUCUGUGUGUACUGCAGGUUAUCAGUCCAUUCACCUGCUGAAGGACAUCUUGGUUGCUGCAGAUGGCUUCUGAGAUGAGGAAUUCUUUUCUCCUAAGUCUUAAGUGGAAGCUGAUUAUGUAAAUCAGAAUAAAGGCAGAGAUGUUCUCAUUGAAGGAGAAAUAUUUUCCCUUCGACCCACACCCCUCCCAGGAUCCAGAAGCACCUAGGAUACUCUUGGCCUCGCCCGGUCUUGUCCUUGCUGUCAUCGGGGUGACUGGUUCUGUGAUGAGGUCCAACUGGUUCAUGACUGACAGACCUCGUCUCUGAUCCCUUUUGUCCAUCUUGUCUCCUGGCCUGCAUGUGAGUUCCACGUAUUUUAGUGAAGAAAACAAUUGAACAUGAUUUCCUUCUGAGGAUACAGAGUUGAAAAGCUAAUCACAGACGCACAGGUCUCGGUAGGAGAAGCCUUCUGUGUUUUGUGGGGGUCUGGAGCAAGGUGUGAGGAGGGAGGAGGGUGAGGUGUGUAUUCUGGAGAACUGGGGUGAGCUCUGCUUUAAGAAAAUGUAAUAUAAGAAAACUUAUAUUAGUCACAUAAGAAAAUUGGAGGGAGGGUUAUUUUCAUAAGAGUUCACCUCUGAAGAAAAUUUCCCCUCAAUUUUUUAAAUAUAGUAGAAUCCUUCCAGAGAAUAUGGAUUUAUUAUUACUACUAAUAUUAUUAUUAUUAACAACAAAAUAUUACUACUGUGUUUAUUUCUCAGCAAUAAUUCUAUCAUAUGAAUUCAUGUGUUUAUUUUGUAUAUUAAGUGUGCUUGCCUCCCCUCACCUAUUUUCUCCUUUAACUGGUUUCUAAUUGCUUUGGGGGUUUGGAGAAAGUCAAACAGAAUCUCUCAAAAUUGAGACAUUUACUAGGAAGACGUGGUGAUAACAUAAGUUAAAACAGCUUCAUUCUCUUUUCAGUUGUUUCAAC
RNAcentral lists this long non-coding RNA (999 nucleotides) under Camelus dromedarius (Arabian camel). Its description in RNAcentral is "lncRNA (ENSCDRG00005012421.1)". Lineage: Eukaryota; Metazoa; Chordata; Mammalia; Artiodactyla; Camelidae. The record is from RNAcentral.